CCAAGACCAAAGAGCUGUCAAAGGACACCAGAAACAAAAUUGUAGACCUGCACCAGGCUGGGAAGACUGCAUCUGCAAUAGAGAGCGAGCUGACCAAGGGAUCGAAAAUGUAGAUAUUGCCAGAUGUUCACUGUCCGAGGAACAGGCCGUGGAAGCUUUAUUGCUGGCAAAAGUGUCCAUAACCAGAGACUUCACCCUCCGAAACACCUCUGAUGAAUAUAAACAGGAAACUUGUUCGAUCACCAUGCACCGCAAAAUCAUUCUGGCUAUAGAUACAGAGAACAUCAACACAUUAUCAUCAACAUGCCAGAGGAUAUACCAACUGGACUUGGGUCUCUGCUGGGAGUUUCCC
This is a long non-coding RNA of Oncorhynchus tshawytscha (Chinook salmon), 352 nucleotides long. Lineage: Eukaryota; Metazoa; Chordata; Actinopteri; Salmoniformes; Salmonidae. The record is from Ensembl.